This 432-nucleotide ribosomal RNA is filed under the name uncultured bacterium. Its description in RNAcentral is "partial 16S ribosomal RNA". It matches the Rfam family "Bacterial small subunit ribosomal RNA", at positions 29 to 506 of the family's 1533-position model. The record is from RNAcentral.
AACGAACGCUGGCGGCAUGCCUAACACAUGCAAGUCGAACGAGACCUUCGGGUCUAGUGGCGCACGGGUGCGUAACGCGUGGGAAUCUGCCCUUCGGUUGGGAAUAACUGAGAGAAAUUUCAGCUAAUACCUUAUAAUGUCUUCGGACCAAAGAUUUAUCGCCGAGGGAUGAGCCCGCGUAGGAUUAGGUAGUUGGUGGGGUAAUGGCCUACCAAGCCGACGAUCCUUAGCUGGUCUGAGAGGAUGAUCAGCCACACUGGGACUGAGACACGGCCCAGACUCCUACGGGAGGCAGCAGUGGGGAAUAUUGGACAAUGGGCGAAAGCCUGAUCCAGCAAUGCCGCGUGAGUGAUGAAGGCCUUAGGGUUGUAAAGCUCUUUUACCCGGGAUGAUAAUGACAGUACCGGGAGAAUAAGCUCCGGCUAACUCCGU